UGGGGAAUAUUGGACAAUGGGGGGAACCCUGAUCCAGCCAUGCCGCGUGUGUGAAGAAGGCCUUAUGGUUGUAAAGCACUUUAAGCGAGGAGGAGGGUACUGGUAUUAAUACUACCAGCUACUGGACGUUACUCGCAGAAUAAGCACCGGCUAACUCUGUGCCAGCAGCCGCGGUAAUACAGAGGGUGCGAGCGUUAAUCGGAUUUACUGGGCGUAAAGCGUGCGUAGGCGGCUAAUUGAGUCGGAUGUGAAAUCCCCGAGCUUAACUUGGGAAUUGCAUUCGAUACUGGUUAGCUAGAGUGUGGGAGAGGAUGGUAGAAUUCCAGGUGUAGCGGUGAAAUGCGUAGAGAUCUGGAGGAAUACCGAUGGCGAAGGCAGCCAUCUGGCCUAGCACUGACGCUGAGGUACGAAAGCAUGGGGAGCAAACAGG
This 430-nucleotide ribosomal RNA is filed under the name Pseudomonadota bacterium. RNAcentral describes it as "Proteobacteria bacterium partial 16S ribosomal RNA". It matches the Rfam family "Bacterial small subunit ribosomal RNA", at positions 355 to 776 of the family's 1533-position model. The record is from RNAcentral. Lineage: Bacteria; Pseudomonadati; Pseudomonadota.